CAGAGUUGCAAAACUCCCUAAACCAUUGUGAACCUACCCUUAAACAGUUGCUUCGGCGGCGCCCGGACAGGCCCGCCGGAGACCACUAAACUCUUGUUUUUAGCACUGGCCUCUCUGAGUUUACUGUACUGUAAUAAGUCA
Molecule: unclassified non-coding RNA, 141 nt
Filed under: soil metagenome
Description: partial internal transcribed spacer 1
Source: RNAcentral